This 372-nucleotide ribosomal RNA is filed under the name uncultured organism. RNAcentral describes it as "bacterial SSU rRNA". It matches the Rfam family "Bacterial small subunit ribosomal RNA", at positions 526 to 896 of the family's 1533-position model. The record is from RNAcentral.
CGAAGGGUGCAAGCGUUACUCGGAAUUACUGGGCGUAAAGCGUGCGUAGGUGGUGAGUUAAGUCUGUCGUGAAAGCCCCGGGCUCAACCUGGGAAUGGCGAUGGAUACUGGCUCGCUAGAGUGCGGUAGAGGAGAGUGGAAUUCCCGGUGUAGCAGUGAAAUGCGUAGAGAUCGGGAGGAACAUCAGUUGCGAAGGCGGCUCUCUGGACCAGCACUGACACUGAGGCACGAAAGCGUGGGGAGCAAACAGGAUUAGAUACCCUGGUAGUCCACGCCCUAAACGAUGCGAACUGGACGUUGGGAGCAAUUAGGCUCUCAGUGUCGAAGCUAACGCGUUAAGCUCGCCGCCUGGGGAGUACGGUCGCAAGACUG